Molecule: unclassified non-coding RNA, 400 nt
Filed under: uncultured Bacteroidaceae bacterium
Lineage: Bacteria; Pseudomonadati; Bacteroidota; Bacteroidia; Bacteroidales; Bacteroidaceae
Description: contains 16S-23S intergenic spacer region
Source: RNAcentral
AGGACUACACGGGUUUCUAAUCCUGUUUGAUACCCACACUUUCGAGCAUCAAUGUCAGUUACAGGUUAGUAAGCUGCCUUCGCAAUCGGAGUUCUUCGUGAUAUCUAAGCAUUUCACCGCUACACCACGAAUUCCGCCUACCUCUGUUGCACUCAAGGUCGCCAGUAUCAACUGCAAUUUUACGGUUGAGCCGCAAACUUUCACAACUGACUUAACUGUCCACCUACGCUCCCUUUAAACCCAAUAAAUCCGGAUAACGCUCGGAUCCUCCGUAUUACCGCGGCUGCUGGCACGGAGUUAGCCGAUCCUUAUUCAUACGGUACAUGCAAAAAUCCACACGUGGAUCCGUUUAUUCCCGUAUAAAAGAAGUUUACAAUCCAUAGAACCUUCAUCCUUCACG